AGCGGCGAACGGAUGAGUAACACGUAGGUAAUCUGCCCAUCAGACGGGGACAACGAUUGGAAACGAUCGCUAAUACCGGAUAGGACGAAAGUUUAAAGAUGCUCCUGGCAUCACUGAUGGAUGAGCCUGCGGCGCAUUAGCUAGUUGGUGGGGUAAAGGCCUACCAAGGCGACGAUGCGUAGCCGACCUGAGAGGGUGAACGGCCACACUGGGACUGAGACACGGCCCAGACUCCUACGGGAGGCAGCAGUAGGGAAUCUUCGGCAAUGGGCGAAAGCCUGACCGAGCAACGCCGCGUGAAUGAAGAAGGCCUUCGGGUUGUAAAAUUCUGUUAUAAGGGAAGAAAGGUGAUAGGAGGAAAUGACUAUCAAUUGACGGUACCUUAUGAGAAAGCCACGGCUAACUACGUGCCAGCAGCCGCGGUAAUACGUAGGUGGCAAGCGUUAUCCGGAAUUAUUGGGCGUAAAGAGCGCGCAGGUGGUUAAUUAAGUCUGAUGUGAAAGCCCACGGCUUAACCGUGGAGGGUCAUUGGAAACUGGUUGACUUGAGUGCAGAAGAGGGAAGUGGAAUUCCAUGUGUAGCGGUGAAAUGCGUAGAGAUAUGGAGGAACACCAGUGGCGAAGGCGGCUUCCUGGUCUGCAACUGACACUGAGGCGCGAAAGCGUGGGGAGCAACAGGAUUAGAUACCCUGGUA
Molecule: ribosomal RNA, 694 nt
Filed under: uncultured bacterium
Lineage: Bacteria
Description: bacterial SSU rRNA
Rfam family: Bacterial small subunit ribosomal RNA
Source: RNAcentral